Molecule: ribosomal RNA, 449 nt
Filed under: uncultured bacterium
Lineage: Bacteria
Description: partial 16S ribosomal RNA
Rfam family: Bacterial small subunit ribosomal RNA
Source: RNAcentral
AGCGAACGCUGGCGGCAGGCCUAACACAUGCAAGUCGAACGAACUCUUCGGAGUUAGUGGCGGACGGGUGAGUAACACGUGGGAACGUGCCUUUAGGUUCGGAAUAACUCAGGGAAACUUGUGCUAAUACCGAAUGUGCCCUUCGGGGGAAAGAUUUUUCGCCUUUAGGGCGGCCCGCGUCUGAUUAGCUAGUUGGUGAGGUAAAGGCUCACCAAGGCGACGAACGGUAGCUGGUCUGAGAGGAUGACCAGCCACAUUGGGACUGAGACCAGGCCCAAACCCCUACGGGAGGCAGCAGUGGGGAAUCCUGCGCAAUGGGCGAAAGCCUGACGCAGCCAUGCCGCGUGAAGGAUAAAGGUCUUAGGAUUGUAAAAUUCUUUCACCGGGGACGAUAAUGACGGUACCCGGAGAAGAAGCCCCGGCUAACUUCGUGCCAGCCGCCGCCGUAA